CCUACGUGAGGCAGCAGUAGGGAAUCUUCCACAAUGGGCGAAAGCCUGAUGGAGCAACGCCGCGUGGGUGAAGAAGGUCUUCGGAUCGUAAAACCCUGUUGUUAGAGAAGAAAGUGCGUGAGAGUAACUGUUCACGUUUCGACGGUAUCUAACCAGAAAGCCACGGCUAACUACGUGCCAGCAGCCGCGGUAAUACGUAGGUGGCAAGCGUUAUCCGGAUUUAUUGGGCGUAAAGGGAACGCAGGCGGUCUUUUAAGUCUGAUGUGAAAGCCUUCGGCUUAACCGGAGUAGUGCAUUGGAGACUGGGAGACUUGAGUGCAGAAGAGGAGAGUGGAACUCCAUGUGUAGCGGUGAAAUGCGUAGAUAUAUGGAAGAACACCAGUGGCGAAAGCGGCUCUCUGGUCUGUAACUGACGCUGAGGUUCGAAAGCGUGGGUAGCAAACAGGAUUAGAUACCCUUGUAGUC
Molecule: ribosomal RNA, 465 nt
Filed under: uncultured bacterium
Lineage: Bacteria
Description: partial 16S ribosomal RNA
Rfam family: Bacterial small subunit ribosomal RNA
Source: RNAcentral